Molecule: ribosomal RNA, 544 nt
Filed under: uncultured bacterium
Lineage: Bacteria
Description: bacterial SSU rRNA
Rfam family: Bacterial small subunit ribosomal RNA
Source: RNAcentral
GGACGCAGNUCUGAUCCAGCCAUCCCGCGUGAAGGAUUAAGGCCCUAUGGGUUGUAAACUUCUUUUCUUUGGGAAUAAAAAGCGGUAUUCAUAUCGCCUUGAAGGUACCAGAGGAAUAAGCACCGGCUAACUCCGUGCCAGCAGCCGCGGUAAUACGGAGGGUGCAAGCGUUAUCCGGAUUCACUGGGUUUAAAGGGUGCGUAGGUGGUCUGAUAAGUCAGCGGUGAAAGCCUGGAGCUCAACUCCAGAAUUGCCAUUGAUACUGUCGGACUUGAAUCAAGUUGAGGUGGAUGGAAUAUUACAUGUAGCGGUGAAAUGCUUAGAUAUGUAAUAGAACACCAAUUGCGAAGGCAGUUCACUAAGCUUGCAUUGACACUGAGGCACGAAAGCGUGGGGAUCAAACAGGAUUAGAUACCCUGGUAGUCCACGCCCUAAACGAUGCAAACUCGACAUUAGCGAUAUACAGUUAGUGUCCAAGCGAAAGCGUUAAGUUUGCCACCUGGGAAGUACGACCGCAAGGUUGAAACUCAAAAGAAUUGACGGA